GAUGAACGCUGGCGGUGUGCCUAAUACAUGCAAGUCGAGCGAACAGACGAGGAGUUUGCUCCGCUGAGGUUAGCGGCGGUCGGGUGCGUACCAUGUGGAUAACACACCUACAGGACUGGGAUAACUUUGGCAAACGUGCGCUAAGACCGGAGAAUAUAUUGCACCGCAUGGUCCCACGGUGAAUGAGCGUGUUGGUGUGACUUAUAGAUGCAUCCGCGCCGCAUUAUCUAGUGUGUAAGGUAACGGCUUACCAAGGCAGCGAUGCGUAGCCGACCUGGGAGGGUGAUCGGCCAGGCUGGAGAGGAGACACGGCCAAGACGCCUACGAGAGACAGCAGAAGGGAAUCCUCGGCGAUGGAGGGAAGCCUGACGCAGCAACGCCGCGAGAGUGACGAAGGUCUUCCGAUCGUAAAACUCUGUUAUUAGGGAAGAACAACUGUGUAAGUAACGAUGCACGUCUUGACGGUACCUAAUCAGAAAGCCACGGCUAACUACGUG
This 497-nucleotide ribosomal RNA is filed under the name uncultured bacterium. RNAcentral describes it as "partial 16S ribosomal RNA". It matches the Rfam family "Bacterial small subunit ribosomal RNA", at positions 28 to 507 of the family's 1533-position model. The record is from RNAcentral.